AAUGCUGCUGAAAGUAAGAGCAGGGUUUACUGCAAGCCCACCCCUGGCUUUGCCCAUCCUGCCACACUCAGCUGGCUUAAAUGAUGCUGGGAUUUCUUUUCACUGCUGACCACUUAUACUUUUACAUCAUAACCGCCCAGUUUGUAGCUCUGUUAAUUUGUGCAAUAACCGGACAAGGCAGACAGUAUCACUGUCCCCAUUUUACAGAUUCAGAAACUGACAUUCACACACAGAAACCUGCCCCAGGUCACACAGCUGCCAAGUGGUGGAGCUGGAGUUUGAACUGGGGUCUGAGUUCAAAGCCCACACGUGUCUCCCCACCCACCAUACCAUCAGCCCCACUCUUGCCUCAAACUGUGCACAAUAGCUGUUCUCAGUCACCAUGUUCCGCUCAUGACACUGGAUGUUUCUUGUUGUCAGGAUGGCUCUCAGAGUCUUCUGUGAACUGCUACUGCCAAAGGAGAAAUGAACUCACUCUGACCUUACACAGCAGAGCUCAACAGAGGGAUUCCUUCUACCACCUUGGGAAGAAUGUUCCAUUGUGGCAUCACAGUUACCAUGGUAUCACCAAGCAAAUGUCUAGACAUGGAGACCUAGGAGGAGCCAGGAUGAAAAGCCUGCCUGUUUCCUAAACUUGGCAAGGCUAUUCUGGAAGCCUGGCUUUCCCCAAGUCUGGCCGAGAAGACAUCCCUUUUGCUAGAUCACAAAGCCCUGUCCCAUUGCAGCCGUGGUCUGUCUACUUCCUCAGCACCCGCCCUGUGUCUACACAACUUUGUCAGACUGGAUGAAGGAAGCCCACGACUAAACUGAGUCUGGUUUUUCCAACCCCCAUAAGCAUUCUUACAUUUUCAGUGUGGUUUCCUGGAGCCCAGUUUUCCCUAGCCCUUUGGCUUGAUGGUCCCAGCGAAGCCACCAGACUGUCGGCUCUGCCAAACCAUAGGGUCAGAUGGGAGCUGCACUCCAGCCACUGUUAGCAGCUUUGGUUUCAGCACAAAUGGCAGGACUCAAGAGAGCUGUUGACAACAUUGUGGAAUAACCAAGCAAAACCAGCAGAAAUACAACAGUGCUGGUGGACUUUCACCCGCUUAUUUCAAUCCUUGCUGGACUAGAUAGUGCAAAAAGAUGAGGGAGGGAAGAUAAUCCUGCAGCCUCUUCAAGUCCUGGGAGCCUUCUCACUUCAGCAGCAUUAAAACCACGCGGAUACGGACAGAGUGAGCGAUUGCCUCGCUGGCUGCCACCCAGCCUCUUCGCUCGCCCCUCAGGACCGCCCGGCGCAGCCAGUGGACGAGGGACAAAUCAUCGCCCCCACAGGCUGUCUGACCCUGAAGGCUCCCCUCUGUGCCAAACCCUGGACUGGGCCCUGGGGAAACCAAGUCAGAAAGAAGGCCUGGUGCCUCCCUCAGAAAGCUCGGAGUCUGGCAUCCAGGUGCGAGAGAUGCUCUGGAAGAAGCCAUGGGCUUUCAGGGGAAGGAGACUGUCACCUAAGUCACCUAGCCUGGCAGAGCAGGAGGAGGGAGCAUCCUUGAAGACAGCUUUCCGAAGGAGGGGACACCUGACUGGAGACCAUGGAGAUGGACCAGGUAUGAACCGAGUGCUACACUUCUGAGAGAUAGCAGCAAAUCCCCUGUGAGUGGGGUUCUCAGCCUGGGAUGCACCUGGAACCACCUCGGAGCUUCUAAGUGUGUCCACCUCUGGCCCCAAGUCCAGAGGCCCUGGUCUAACUAGUCCGCAGUGGGGCCUGGGCACUUGUAUGUUUUAUAAAUGUCGUAAUUUUUUUAUUAAGGUGAAAUUCACAUAACAUAGAAUUAACCAUUUUAAAGCGAACAGUUCAGUGGCAUUUAGUACAUUCACAUUCACCGCCUCUAUUUGGUUCCAAAACACAUUCGUCGCCCUAAAAUAAAACCUGUAUGCGUUAACCAGUCACUCCCCAUUUCACUCUUACCCCAGCCCCUGGCAACCAUAAAUCUGCUUUCUAUCUCUACGGAUUUAACUACUCUGGAUAUUUUACGUAAAAGGAAUCCUACAAAAUGGGACCUUUGUAUCUGCCUUCUAUCACUUAGCAUAAUGCUUUCAAAGUUCAGCCGUGUUGGGGCAUGUGUCAAUACCUUAUUCCUUUUUAAGGCAAGAUAAUAGUCCAUCAUGCGGAUAUUGCACAAUUUGUUUAUCCACUCAUCUAUCGCUGGACAUGUGGCUUGUUUCCCCCUUUUGGCUAUUGUGAAUAGUGCUAUGAACAUUCGUACACAAAUGUUUAACAUCUAUUUUCAAUCCUUUUGGGUAUA
Long non-coding RNA from Neofelis nebulosa (Clouded leopard), 2279 nucleotides. RefSeq lists it as uncharacterized. The transcript is spliced from 4 exons. The record is from RefSeq and is a predicted model, not a curated record. Lineage: Eukaryota; Metazoa; Chordata; Mammalia; Carnivora; Felidae.